UCAGGCCUAACACAUGCAAGUCGAGCGGAAACGAGUUAUCUGAACCUUCGGGGAACGAUAACGGCGUCGAGCGGCGGACGGGUGAGUAAUGCCUAGGAAAUUGCCCUGAUGUGGGGGAUAACCAUUGGAAACGAUGGCUAAUACCGCAUGAUGCCUACGGGCCAAAGAGGGGGACCUUCGGGCCUCUCGCGUCAGGAUAUGCCUAGGUGGGAUUAGCUAGUUGGUGAGGUAAGGGCUCACCAAGGCGACGAUCCCUAGCUGGUCUGAGAGGAUGAUCAGCCACACUGGAACUGAGACACGGUCCAGACUCCUACGGGAGGCAGCAGUGGGGAAUAUUGCACAAUGGGCGCAAGCCUGAUGCAGCCAUGCCGCGUGUGUGAAGAAGGCCUUCGGGUUGUAAAGCACUUUCAGUCGUGAGGAAGGUAGUGUAGUUAAUAGCUGCAUUAUUUGACGUUAGCGACAGAAGAAGCACCGGCUAACUCCGUGCCAGCAGCCGCGGUAAUACGGAGGGUGCGAGCGUUAAUCGGAAUUACUGGGCGUAAAGCGCAUGCAGGUGGUUUGUUAAGUCAGAUGUGAAAGCCCGGGGCUCAACCUCGGAAUAGCAUUUGAAACUGGCAGACUAGAGUACUGUAGAGGGGGGUAGAAUUUCA
Molecule: ribosomal RNA, 650 nt
Filed under: uncultured bacterium
Lineage: Bacteria
Description: bacterial SSU rRNA
Rfam family: Bacterial small subunit ribosomal RNA
Source: RNAcentral